RNAcentral lists this ribosomal RNA (382 nucleotides) under Imbricatea sp. Its description in RNAcentral is "partial small subunit ribosomal RNA". It matches the Rfam family "Eukaryotic small subunit ribosomal RNA", at positions 582 to 975 of the family's 1831-position model. The record is from RNAcentral. Lineage: Eukaryota; Cercozoa; Imbricatea.
AUUCCAGCUCCAAUAGUGUAUAUUAAAGUUGUUGCAGUUAAAAAGCUCGUAGUUGGAUUUCUAGCCGACGUUAGUGGUCCCCAACGCUCAGCGUAGGGCGUACCGCACGCGUCGUCUAUCCUAUCAGUUUGUCUGGUUUCGGCCGGGCUGACUGGUUCUUUUACUUUGAAAAAAUUAGAGUGUUUAAAGCAGGCUUGCGCAAUGAAUACAUUAGCAUGGAAUAAUAAUAUAGGACUUCGGUCUCUACUUUAUUGGUUCUGGAGUUGAAGUAAUGAUUGAUAGGGAUAGUUGGGGGUGCUAGUAUUGAGUGGCCAGAGGUGAAAUUCUUAGAUUCACUCAAGACUAACUUAUGCGAAAGCAUUCACCAAGGAUGUCUUCAUUA